GGAUGUGAGGGCAAUCUGGCUGUGACAUCUGUCACCCUAUUGAUCGCCAGGGUUGAUUCGGCUGAUCUGGCUGGCUAGGCAGGUGUCCCCUUCCUCCCUCAAUGAUCCAUGUGCGUCCCUCCCAAAGCUGCGCACUCGGUCGAAGAGGACGACCACCCCCAAUAGAGGAGGACCAUUCCUUGGUCAUGGGUAUACGAGUAGCUGCGACCCCCUGCUAGAACCUCCAAACAAGCUCUCAAGAUGCGGACAUGACUCUAUUAGAACAAAUCCCUCUAUUCAUUAAGAGAAUGUAACUAUAUAUCUAUCCUAACCAUUUUGAACACACAUACAAAAUGGACAUUCAUCUGUAUCCCCUUUUUU
This 360-nucleotide small nuclear RNA is filed under the name Octodon degus (degu). Its description in RNAcentral is "7SK RNA (ENSODEG00000022843.1)". It matches the Rfam family "7SK RNA". From Rfam's summary of the family: 7SK was discovered as an abundant small nuclear RNA in the mid-70s but a possible function has only recently been suggested. Two independent studies have found that 7SK RNA binds the CDK9/cyclin T complex (known as elongation factor P-TEFb). The record is from Rfam by way of RNAcentral. Lineage: Eukaryota; Metazoa; Chordata; Mammalia; Rodentia; Octodontidae.